CCUACGGGUGGCAGCAGUGAGGAAUAUUGGUCAAUGGGCGCUAGCCUGAACCAGCCAAGUAGCGUGAAGGAUGACUGCCCUAUGGGUUGUAAACUUCUUCUAUAUGGGAAUAAAGUGCAGUAUGUAUACUGCUUUGCAUGUACCUUAUGAAUAAGAGUCGGCUAACUCCGCGCCAGCAGCCGCGGUAAUACGGUGGAUCGGGUCGUUAGCCGGAUUUAUUGGGCUUAAAGGGAGCGUAGGCGGGUUGUUAAGUCAGUUGUGAAAGUCUGUGGCUCAACCGUAAAAUUGCAGUUGAUACUGGCAGCCUUGAGUACAGUAGAGGUAGGCGGAAUUCGUGGUGUAGCGGUGAAAUGCUUAGAGAUCACGAAGAAUACCGAUUGCGAAGGCAGCCUGCUGGACUGUAACUGACGCUGAUGCGCGAAAGUGUGGGUAGCAAACAGGAUUAGAUACCCCUGUAGUC
RNAcentral lists this ribosomal RNA (460 nucleotides) under uncultured bacterium. Its description in RNAcentral is "partial 16S ribosomal RNA". It matches the Rfam family "Bacterial small subunit ribosomal RNA", at positions 338 to 795 of the family's 1533-position model. The record is from RNAcentral.